Molecule: ribosomal RNA, 440 nt
Filed under: uncultured bacterium
Lineage: Bacteria
Description: bacterial SSU rRNA
Rfam family: Bacterial small subunit ribosomal RNA
Source: RNAcentral
CCUACGGGGGGCAGCAGUGGGGAAUAUUGCACAAUGGGGGAAAGCCUGAUGCAGCAACGCCGCGUGAGCGAUGAAGGCCUUCGGGUCGUAAAGCUCUGUCCUAAGGGAAGAAUACUGACGGUACCUUAGGAGGAAGCCCCGGCUAACUACGUGCCAGCAGCCGCGGUAAUACGUAGGGGGCUAGCGUUAUCCGGAAAUACGGGGCGUAAAGGGUGCGUAGGCGGCCCUUCAAGUCAGAGGUGAAAGGCUACGGCUCAACCGUAGUAAGACUUUGAAACUGUAGGGCUUGAGUUCAGGAGAGGAGAGAGGAAUUCCCAGUGUAGCUGUGAAAUGCGUCGAUAUUGGGGGGAAUACCAGUUAGGGAGGCGGCUCUCUGGACUGUAAAUUACGCUGAGGCAUGAAAGCGUGGGGAGCGAACAGGAUUAGAUACCCCGGUAGUC